RNAcentral lists this ribosomal RNA (253 nucleotides) under uncultured bacterium. Its description in RNAcentral is "partial 16S ribosomal RNA". It matches the Rfam family "Bacterial small subunit ribosomal RNA", at positions 524 to 776 of the family's 1533-position model. The record is from RNAcentral.
UACGGGGGGGGCAAGCGUUGUUCGGAAUUACUGGGCGUAAAGGGCGCGUAGGCGGCCUUCUAAGUCGGACGUGAAAUCCCCAGGCUUAACCUGGGAACUGCGUCGGAUACUGGAUGGCUUGAAUCCGGGAGAGGGAUGCGGAAUUCCAGGUGUAGCGGUGAAAUGCGUAGAUAUCUGGAGGAACACCGGUGGCGAAGGCGGCAUCCUGGACCGGCAUUGACGCUGAUGAGCGAAAGCCAGGGGAGCGAACGGG